UACAUAUGAAUAAGACAUGAAGUUUCUCUUCAUUCUGAAGAAGCAAGCAAUGCUGUUAUCUGGUCCUUGUUAUCAUUAGGAGUUUCAUUCUUUUUCUAGUUGUUUGCUUAUUGAUUUAUGUAUUACUUGCUAUCUUUUUCAGUGCUUCCCUCAAGAGCACUUGCCAUUUUAAACCUAGAGGGUUGUAAUAUAUCCUCCUUCCAUCAUUAAUGAAUUAUUAGUGAAUGAUCUACAUUCAUGCUCCAGUAGUUUAUUUCUUAGAUUGCCAUUGCUUUUGUAGUUUACUUCUUGGAUGUCGUGCAUAUUUCUAGAUUCCUUUUUUAUCAUCUCUUUGAACUUACUCACCAUUUGAAAAGGGAUUGGAUCAAGCAUGACAUAUGAGGAGAAAGGAAAAGGCACUUUCUCUUGUCAAUUGUCUGAAUCAACCAAUUUUAAGUGCAAUGUUCAUAACAAUUUUUGACAAAAAUAUUGUGCUUGGACAAAAUCUGUUACACCUUUUCUGUUAGAAGCAUGUUUAAUAGAUUAAGUUUCUUUUCAUUCUAUAUAAGAAGUAUUUGUGAAAUAUAGCCUCAUUAUUGGUGACUUAAUAUUAAUUAGUAAAGCAAUACAUUGUCCUGUGAUUCAUUUGUUCACCAGUCAUUUAUGUUUUGCCUACUCUUUCAGUAUUUCUAAAUGACUUAUUUUGAAAAGGAAGGGACUUUGCUUGGACUUGUAUGAGAUCUGGGGACAAAAGAAAUAAACUCUUUGCUUAUUAGUAGUCCCAGUGACCCAUUCAAAAAGGCAUACAUCUUUAAUGAUUAUUUACAAUGAGCUUUGUGGUUAGACAAACACAUUGAUUAAUGUUUAAUCUUAAAGCAUUUUGUAAAUUGAAUAUUGAAAUUUUGCUCUAAUUACCAAAAAUCCCCUGUGAUUAAUAUUUGAUUCAUGGAACUUGUUCCAUUUCAGCUUGCAUAACAAAGUAUCAUAACAUGGACUGUCACAUGAGAUUCUAGUUCUCUUGUUUAAUUUUCUUAUGUUCUUUCUCUUAUGGCUAAUUUCUUGUGCAAUUCACCUUAAAAAGACUUCCUUGUUUUGUUAUGAUUCUGAUCAAAUCGAACUUUCAGCUUGCAUAUAAUUAUCAGUUUAUCACUACAAGCAUCUUUCCAAGUUUCUGAUUAUGAACCCUUCUUUUUUGUAUAUCUACUGUGCAAGGCUGCCAACAUUGAAUUCCAAUUUUUUAUUACUUGAAUGUGUUAUUUUCUGAACCAUUCAAUUUUUUUUCCUUUGCUGAAAAAUUAAGCUUAAGACAUGCUGCUUUUUCAGUGGUGACAGUCAAAUUUCAUCUUGUCUUUGUGUUUUGUUUUCCUUUUAUGGGCAAAAACGUUCUUCUGCAGCAUACCUUUAUGCAUGUUCUAAUGCAUUAUUAUUACUCAGAAAAUAUUUAUUUCAGGAAGGAGUAUAACUUGCAAAGAAUGAACUGAUCUUCUAGUACUAUAUAUGGAGUUCCAUGAGAUUUAUGACUUUUCGGAUCUAGAACUCUUGCACAGAUUUUGAACCAUUUACUCCAUUAUUGCAGGUACUUGAAGGGCAGUUCGAUGUGUGCAGCAAAAUGCAACAACAAGAGUCAGAGAGUGGGUGCACCCUAGAGGUCUUAGGU
This 1636-nucleotide unclassified non-coding RNA is filed under the name Hevea brasiliensis (rubber tree). Lineage: Eukaryota; Viridiplantae; Streptophyta; Magnoliopsida; Malpighiales; Euphorbiaceae. The record is from RNAcentral.